GACGAACGCUGGCGGCGUGCCUAAUACAUGCAAGUAGAACGCUGAAGGAAGGAGCUUGCUCUUUCUGGAUGAGUUGCGAACGGGUGAGUAACGCGUAGGUAACCUGCCUGGUAGCGGGGGAUAACUAUUGGAAACGAUAGCUAAUACCGCAUAAAAUUGUUUAUUGCAUGAUAGUCAAUUAAAAGGUGCAACUGCACCACUACCAGAUGGACCUACGUUGUAUUGGUAGGUGGGGGGGGUAACGGCUCACCAAGGGGACGUUACAUACCCGCCCGGAAGGGGUGACGGCCAAACUGGGAACUAAGCACGGCCCAGACUCCUUCGGGAGGCAGCAGGAGGGGAUCUUCGGAAAAGGGCCGAAGGCCGACCGGGGCACGCCGGGUGGGUGAAGAAGGUUCUCGGAUCGUGAAGAUCUGUUGUUAGGGAAGAAAGAGAGGGAGAGUGGACAGUGCACAUUGUGACGGUACCUAACCAGAAAGCCACGGCUAACUACGUG
RNAcentral lists this ribosomal RNA (496 nucleotides) under uncultured bacterium. RNAcentral describes it as "partial 16S ribosomal RNA". It matches the Rfam family "Bacterial small subunit ribosomal RNA", at positions 28 to 507 of the family's 1533-position model. The record is from RNAcentral.